Molecule: ribosomal RNA, 253 nt
Filed under: uncultured bacterium
Lineage: Bacteria
Description: partial 16S ribosomal RNA
Rfam family: Bacterial small subunit ribosomal RNA
Source: RNAcentral
UACGAAGGGGGCUAGCGUUGCUCGGAAUCACUGGGCGUAAAGGGUGCGUAGGCGGGUCUUUAAGUCAGGGGUGAAAUCCUGGAGCUCAACUCCAGAACUGCCUUUGAUACUGAGGAUCUUGAGUCCGGGAGAGGUGAGUGGAACUGCGAGUGUAGAGGUGAAAUUCGUAGAUAUUCGCAAGAACACCAGUGGCGAAGGCGGCUCACUGGCCCGGUACUGACGCUGAGGCGCGAAAGCUAGGGGAGCAAACAGG